AGUAUAGCAUUAUACGGCGAAACUGCGAAUGGCUCAUUAUAUAAGUUAUCGUUUAUUUGAUAGUACCUUACUACUUGGAUAACCGUGGUAAUUCUAGAGCUAAUACAUGCUAAAAAUCCCGACUUCGGAAGGGAUGUAUUUAUUAGAUUAAAAACCAAUGCCCUUCGGGGCUCCUUGGUGAUUCAUGAUAACUUCGCGAAUCGCAUGGCCUUGCGCCGGCGAUGGUUCAUUCAAAUUUCUUCCCUAUCAACUUUCGAUGUUUGGGUAUUGGCCAAACAUGGUUGCAACGGGUAACGGAGGGUUAGGGCUCGACCCCGGAGAAGGAGCCUGAGAAACGGCUACUACAUCCAAGGAAGGCAGCAGGCGCGCAAAUUACCCAAUCCCGACACGGGGAGGUAGUGACAAUAAAUACUGAUACAGGGCUCUUUAGGGUCUUGUAAUUGGAAUGAGUACAAUUUAAAUCCCUUAACGAGGAACAAUUGGAGGGCAAGUCUGGUGCCAGCAGCCGCGGUAAUUCCAGCUCCAAUAGCGUAUAUUAAAGUUGUUGUGGUUAAAAAGCUCGUAGUUGAACCUUGGGCCUGGCUGGCCGGUCCGCCUCACCGCGUGCACUGGUCCGGCCGGGCCUUUCCCUCUGUGGAACCCCAUGCCCUUCACUGGGCGUGGCGGGGAAACAGGACUUUUACUUUGAAAAAAUUAGAGUGCUCCAGGCAGGCCUAUGCUCGAAUACAUUAGCAUGGAAUAAUAAAAUAGGACGUGCGGUUCUAUUUUGUUGGUUUCUAGGACCGCCGUAAUGAUUAAUAGGGACAGUCGGGGGCAUCAGUAUUCAAUUGUCAGAGGUGAAAUUCUUGGAUUUAUUGAAGACUAACUACUGCGAAAGCAUUUGCCAAGGAUGUUUUCAUUAAUCAGGAACGAAAGUUAGGGGAUCGAAGACGAUCAGAUACCGUCGUAGUCUUAACCGUAAACGAUGCCGACUAGGGAUCGGACGGUGUUAUUACUUGACCCGUUCGGCACCUUACGAGAAAUCAAAGUGCUUGGGCUCCAGGGGGAGUAUGGUCGCAAGGCUGAAACUUAAAGAAAUUU
Molecule: ribosomal RNA, 1080 nt
Filed under: Acremonium sclerotigenum
Lineage: Eukaryota; Fungi; Ascomycota; Sordariomycetes; Hypocreales; Bionectriaceae
Description: SSU rRNA
Rfam family: Eukaryotic small subunit ribosomal RNA
Source: RNAcentral